UUUAUGGAGAGUUUGAUCCUGGCUCAGGAUGAACGCUGGCGGCGUGCCUAAUACAUGCAAGUCGAGCGAACGGACGAGAAGCUUGCUUCUCUGAUGUUAGCGGCGGACGGGUGAGUAACACGUGGAUAACCUACCUAUAAGACUGGGAUAACUUCGGGAAACCGGAGCUAAUACCGGAUAAUAUUUUGAACCGCAUGGUUCAAAAGUGAAAGACGGUCUUGCUGUCACUUAUAGAUGGAUCCGCGCUGCAUUAGCUAGUUGGUAAGGUAACGGCUUACCAAGGCAACGAUGCAUAGCCGACCUGAGAGGGUGAUCGGCCACACUGGAACUGAGACACGGUCCAGACUCCUACGGGAGGCAGCAGUAGGGAAUCUUCCGCAAUGGGCGAAAGCCUGACGGAGCAACGCCGCGUGAGUGAUGAAGGUCUUCGGAUCGUAAAACUCUGUUAUUAGGGAAGAACAUAUGUGUAAGUAACUGUGCACAUCUUGACGGUACCUAAUCAGAAAGCCACGGCUAACUACGUGCCAGCAGCCGCGGUAAUACGUAGGUGGCAAGCGUUAUCCGGAAUUAUUGGGCGUAAAGCGCGCGUAGGCGGUUUUUUAAGUCUGAUGUGAAAGCCCACGGCUCAACCGUGGAGGGUCAUUGGAAACUGGAAAACUUGAGUGCAGAAGAGGAAAGUGGAAUUCCAUGUGUAGCGGUGAAAUGCGCAGAGAUAUGGAGGAACACCAGUGGCGAAGGCGACUUUCUGGUCUGUAACUGACGCUGAUGUGCGAAAGCGUGGGGAUCAAACAGGAUUAGAUACCCUGGUAGUCCACGCCGUAAACGAUGAGUGCUAAGUGUUAGGGGGUUUCCGCCCCUUAGUGCUGCAGCUAACGCAUUAAGCACUCCGCCUGGGGAGUACGACCGCAAGGUUGAAACUCAAAGGAAUUGACGGGGACCCGCACAAGCGGUGGAGCAUGUGGUUUAAUUCGAAGCAACGCGAAGAACCUUACCAAAUCUUGACAUCCUUUGACAACUCUAGAGAUAGAGCCUUCCCCUUCGGGGGACAAAGUGACAGGUGGUGCAUGGUUGUCGUCAGCUCGUGUCGUGAGAUGUUGGGUUAAGUCCCGCAACGAGCGCAACCCUUAAGCUUAGUUGCCAUCAUUAAGUUGGGCACUCUAAGUUGACUGCCGGUGACAAACCGGAGGAAGGUGGGGAUGACGUCAAAUCAUCAUGCCCCUUAUGAUUUGGGCUACACACGUGCUACAAUGGACAAUACAAAGGGCAGCGAAACCGCGAGGUCAAGCAAAUCCCAUAAAGUUGUUCUCAGUUCGGAUUGUAGUCUGCAACUCGACUACAUGAAGCUGGAAUCGCUAGUAAUCGUAGAUCAGCAUGCUACGGUGAAUACGUUCCCGGGUCUUGUACACACCGCCCGUCACACCACGAGAGUUUGUAACACCCGAAGCCGGUGGAGUAACCUUUUAGGAGCUAGCCGUCGAAGGUGGGACAAAUGAUUGGGGUGAAGUCGUAACAAGGUAGCCGUAUCGGAAGGU
This 1532-nucleotide ribosomal RNA is filed under the name Staphylococcus aureus. Its description in RNAcentral is "partial 16S ribosomal RNA". It matches the Rfam family "Bacterial small subunit ribosomal RNA". Lineage: Bacteria; Bacillati; Bacillota; Bacilli; Caryophanales; Staphylococcaceae. The record is from RNAcentral.